AGAGUUUGAUCCUGGCUCAGGAUGAACGCUGGCGGCGUGCUUAACACAUGCAAGUCGAACGGAGAUUACUUUUUAGCUUGCUAAGUUGUAAUCUUAGUGGCGGACGGGUGAGUAACGCGUGGGUAACCUGCCUUAUCCAGGGGGAUAACAGUGAGAAAUUACUGCUAAUACCGCAUAAGCGCACAGUUUCGCAUGAAACAGUGUGAAAAGAUUUAUCGGGAUAAGAUGGACCCGCGUCUGAUUAGCUAGUUGGUGAGGUAACGGCCCACCAAGGCGACGAUCAGUAGCCGGCCUGAGAGGGUGAACGGCCACAUUGGGACUGAGACACGGCCCAAACUCCUACGGGAGGCAGCAGUGGGGAAUAUUGCACAAUGGGGGAAACCCUGAUGCAGCGACGCCGCGUGAGUGAAGAAGUAUUUCGGUAUGUAAAGCUCUAUCAGCAGGGAAGAAAAUGACGGUACCUGACUAAGAAGCCCCGGCUAACUACGUGCC
This 492-nucleotide ribosomal RNA is filed under the name uncultured organism. RNAcentral's name for it is "SSU rRNA". It matches the Rfam family "Bacterial small subunit ribosomal RNA", at positions 8 to 509 of the family's 1533-position model. The record is from RNAcentral.